RNAcentral lists this ribosomal RNA (503 nucleotides) under uncultured bacterium. RNAcentral describes it as "partial 16S ribosomal RNA". It matches the Rfam family "Bacterial small subunit ribosomal RNA", at positions 28 to 523 of the family's 1533-position model. The record is from RNAcentral.
GAUGAACGCUGGCGGCGUGCCUAAUACAUGCAAGUCGAACGAAGAUCUAGCUUGCUAGAUCUUAGUGGCGAACGGGUGAGUAAUACAUAAAUAAUCUACCCAUAUGACUGGGAUAACUAUUGGAAACGAUAGCUAAUACCGGAUAGGUUGAUCGGAGGCAUCUCUGAUUAAUUAAAGUAGGAUUUCUACACAAAUGGAUGAGUUUAUGGCGCAUUAGUUAGUUGGUGGGGUAACGGCCUACCAAGACGAUGAUGCGUAGCCGACCUGAGAGGGUGACCGGCCACACUGGGACUGAGACACGGCCCAGACUCCUACGGGAGGCAGCAGUAGGGAAUUUUCGGCAAUGGGCGCAAGCCUGACCGAGCAACGCCGCGUGAGUGAUUAAGGCCUUCGGGUUGUGAAGCUCUGUUGUAAGGGAAGAACAUUCAGGAUAGGAAAUGAUCUUGAACUGACGGUACCUUACCAGAAAGCCACGGCUAACUACGUGCCAGCCGCCGCCGUAA